RNAcentral lists this transfer RNA (63 nucleotides) under Neurobasis chinensis. RNAcentral's name for it is "tRNA-Gly". It matches the Rfam family "tRNA". From Rfam's summary of the family: Transfer RNA (tRNA) molecules are approximately 80 nucleotides in length. Their secondary structure includes four short double-helical elements and three loops (D, anti-codon, and T loops). Lineage: Eukaryota; Metazoa; Arthropoda; Insecta; Odonata; Calopterygidae. The record is from RNAcentral.
AUUUAUUUAGUAUAAUAGUAUAAUUGACUUCCAAUCAACAGGACUGGACAACCAGAAUAAAUA